GGAAAUAAACGAUCCCAAUUGAUGCCGCAAAACUUAGACUCGACCAGGGAUAAGCAGCGUUUGGAAGGGCGAAGGGGGUUCGGGACCAGAUUUAAAGAAAACUGAAAGCAGUUGGAGACUUGUGAUUGUCAGUUAGAAGGAAAAACUCAGCGAACAUCCACACAAAACACCCGAGACCAAGAGCCACGCAGCAGGUACCUUUUAAAAUUGUACCAUGGGGCAACGAAUUCACCAGGAUCUGGAAGACACCAGAUUCUUAUGAAAAGGUCAAAGUUAUGGCCUUGGUAUGACCUCAAAAGAAAAAAAAAUCUAUUUGUGAGGCAAUAUGAUUGUCAAAAAGGUUUUAGUAAAUGCAAUUAGAGUGACAAUCCUAAUCCAAACAGUUGAACAAAAAAAAUUUUAAAAAUAAAAUAAACCUCACCCUCA
Long non-coding RNA from Grammomys surdaster, 426 nucleotides. RefSeq lists it as uncharacterized. The record is from RefSeq and is a predicted model, not a curated record. The transcript is spliced from 2 exons. Lineage: Eukaryota; Metazoa; Chordata; Mammalia; Rodentia; Muridae.